AGCUUUUCCCCCUUUUUUUCUGUGUCUUUAGCUGCUGCAUUUGGGCUCUUGUCCUCAUUUGCUGCAGCCAUAGACCUUGCCACCCUGCUAUUAUCACUGUACUUUCCAUCACAUUAUAGUGUUACAAGUAUAGUUUCUAAUGCUUUGCCUGGUACCAUUACUUAUGUGGCUAAAGGAAGAUCAAACAGGGCAAGUCCUGCAGUUCUGAUAAUCACUUGUCUUUUUGUGUAUUGCUAUUGUGAAUUGAAAUGACAUCUGAUGGUACUGUGAGGUGAAACACAAUAGAUUGCAGUGAAGAGAGUGGCAAUAGGAGUUACAGUGCUGCGCUUUUGGGGACAAAAAAAUCUGUGUCACCACAGCCACCUUCCUAGAAGUGCCAGAAGGGAAUAGCAUCUGAGAAUAGUAUCUGUGCAAGCUUGAACAUCUGUAGAAGCCUUGAACAAGAUCUUGUGUGGAAAGCCAUGAAGCAGGCUCCACUGCGUUACUGACUGUACCAACAUGUGGAUUUUGAUGACAACCUGAGGAUGAAGGAUGAUGUGCAAGAUGGGGAAUAUCUGGUGGUUUAGGCACAGUUCAUACAGAAUACAACUAUGUUCUGCAGCUGAUGAAGCAUUGGCACAGGUUGCCCAGAGAGGCUAUGAGUUCUCCUUCUUGAAGAUCUUCAGAAGCCAUCUGAAAGUGGUCCUGGGCAUGUUGCUCUGAGUGUCCCUGCUUGAGCAGAGGUUGGAACAGAUGGGCAAGAGUUUUCUUCUUGAGUGGAAUUUUGGUUCAGAACAGCAUUGCCUCCUGAUAAAUCCGAGUCCUUAGAUGAUCCCUCUUCAAGCAACCAAUUUGGAUAAAGUUGAGAAAGUGCUUAAGCGAGCCGAAGCUUAUCUCAUUUUCAACAGUCAAUUCAGAGUCUAAAGUCUCAUGGAAAAAAUCAGCAAAACUCAAGGCUCCUUAAUUAAUGAGGUGCUUUCAUAAAUUUUCCUCUUUGGUGGAAUUCUUUUCUGACAAGAGAAAAAUGUGGUGUUGAUGAUGUCUCAAGCCCUAAGAAGGGAUAAAAAAACUUGUACAAGGCUCUUCCCACACUCAAGGACGUUUACAUCUUUUUCAUCUGCUUGCUGUCUAGCACACUGAAGUGUCCUGCUACAGCUGGGGUACUCUCUAUCAGCUGGGAUCUUUAUCAUCUGGAAAAGUUUUACCAUUCUUCUGAUGGAAAACCUUUAUCCAGCCAUCAUGCAGAAAGGAUAUUUUAUGAUACUGCAAAGUGUUCUGCCAAAGCUUGUGCCAGAGUUGCUUGUCUUUAGAAGCUCAAGGGCACACAACAGCUUUUUGUGUGGGCCAUUGAGGAGAGCCUCCAUCUUCUCCCUGUUUUUUUUCAUUGUUUUCAACUUUAAAUCUCAAAGUGAAUAAAAAUUCUUCCUGAUCU
Molecule: long non-coding RNA, 1411 nt
Organism: Gallus gallus (chicken)
Lineage: Eukaryota; Metazoa; Chordata; Aves; Galliformes; Phasianidae
Source: Ensembl